UACAGAGGUCCCAAGCGUUGUUCGGAUUCACUGGGCGUAAAGGGUGCGUAGGUGGUGAGGUAAGUCGGAUGUGAAAUCUCCGGGCUCAACCCGGAAAUGGCAUUGGAAACUACCUUGCUAGAGGAUUUGAGGGGGGAUUGGAAUACUUGGUGUAGCAGUGAAAUGCGUAGAUAUCGGGAGGAACACCAGUGGCGAAGGCGACUACCUGGCCUGUUCUUGACGCUGAGGCGCGAAAGCUAGGGGAGCAAACGGG
RNAcentral lists this ribosomal RNA (253 nucleotides) under uncultured bacterium. Its description in RNAcentral is "partial 16S ribosomal RNA". It matches the Rfam family "Bacterial small subunit ribosomal RNA", at positions 524 to 776 of the family's 1533-position model. The record is from RNAcentral.